GAUGAAGAACGUAGUGAAAUGCGAUAAGUAAUGUGAAUUGCAGAAUUCAGUGAAUCAUCGAAUCUUUGAACGCACAUUGCGCCCGCCAGUAUUCUGGCGGGCAUGCCUGUCCGAGCGUCAUUUCAACCCUCGAACCCCUCCGGGGGGUCGGCGUUGGGGAUCGGCACUUACCUGCCGGCCCCGAAAUACAGUGGCGGCCUCGCCGCAGCCUCUCCUGCGCAGUAGUUUGCACACUCGCACCGGGAGCGCGGCGCGUCCACGGCCGUAAAACAACCCAAACUUCUGAAAUGUUGACCUCGGAUCAGGUAGGAAUACCCGCUGAACUUAAGCAUAUCAAUAAGCGGAGGA
RNAcentral lists this unclassified non-coding RNA (348 nucleotides) under soil metagenome. RNAcentral describes it as "partial contains 5.8S ribosomal RNA, internal transcribed spacer 2, and large subunit ribosomal RNA". The stretch from base 1 to 120 matches the Rfam family "5.8S ribosomal RNA", at positions 35 to 154 of the family's 154-position model. The record is from RNAcentral.